AGAAAGAUAAGCUAAAAAAGCUACUGGGUUCAUACCCCAUUUAUAGGGGUCAAUCCCCUUCUCUCUA
This 67-nucleotide transfer RNA is filed under the name Mesonemoura tritaenia. RNAcentral's name for it is "tRNA-Met". It matches the Rfam family "tRNA". From Rfam's summary of the family: Transfer RNA (tRNA) molecules are approximately 80 nucleotides in length. Their secondary structure includes four short double-helical elements and three loops (D, anti-codon, and T loops). Further hydrogen bonds mediate the characteristic L-shaped molecular structure. tRNAs have two regions of fundamental functional importance: the anti-codon, which is responsible for specific mRNA codon recognition, and the 3' end, to which the tRNAs corresponding amino acid is attached (by aminoacyl-tRNA synthetases). tRNAs cope with the degeneracy of the genetic code in two manners: having more than one tRNA (with a specific anti-codon) for a particular amino acid; and 'wobble' base-pairing, i.e. permitting non-standard base-pairing at the 3rd anti-codon position. The record is from RNAcentral. Lineage: Eukaryota; Metazoa; Arthropoda; Insecta; Plecoptera; Nemouridae.